This is a long non-coding RNA of Bombina bombina (fire-bellied toad), 1185 nucleotides long. RefSeq lists it as uncharacterized. The transcript is spliced from 2 exons. The record is from RefSeq and is a predicted model, not a curated record. Lineage: Eukaryota; Metazoa; Chordata; Amphibia; Anura; Bombinatoridae.
AGCUGAUCAGCAUUCACAAAAGUAAACAGCACCUUUGUAUAGUGUUAAAUUCUGACAUAUACUGCACCAAAGGAGGUCUGUGUGUGUUUAUAAAGCAGCAGGCUAUGGGGAGGUGUGACAGACCUGUAUAUAAGAAAGAAUCUGAAAAGAUACCAAAAAGAUGACAACCUAUCUUCAAGUUGGGAAAAUCCAUGUCCUAAUGUUGUUAUGGCUGAUUAUGGAGGGUUUUGCUGGACGAAAUUCUUUUGCAUUUUCAGAGGACUGCAUGGGUAUUUUGGGUUUGACUCAGACAACAUCAAGAUGGAAAUCGUGAUUGUGGUAUCAAAGUCAAUGUAACUGAACUAGUUUUUGGAAAAUGAUCAACAACAUCAAAAUGAACAUUAUGAUCCUGAACGUAUUAAUAUAGCAUUGGACAAAGGCCGGUCUAAUGUUACAAGUUGUACAAAAUGGGUUAAAUGUGGCAAAGAAACAUUUAUUUUUAAGUUUAUUUUUGCAAAAUAUGACAGUCAAGGACUGUCACAAUGACUAAGGCACAAUGAAGUUAGAUGCAUUUAAAUAUGCACCUUUACGCUUAGUUAAAUGACAAUAUGUAGAGGCUAUUGUUUACACCAUGUAUCUCUCUUUGCCACUAAGGAAUCCUGAAUGGCCAAUUAUACUUCAGGAUUUAAACAGUUAGAGUAUUAUGUAAAUAGUUAUAAUAAGUCAGAGGCAGAAAUUGCAAAAGCACUGUUAACAAACAAAGUAUAGACUUAGUUAAAAAAGAAAAGGCAUUUCAGAAUAGGGUAAUGUUUUCUAAAAUGAUGCAAUAGAGUAUACUAUUUUGAGAUUUGCAGCAAGCAACAGUGUAUGCAAAUGUUUAAGGAUAUGUGCCUGUAUUUUGUUUAUUGACUCAUUCAUUCACUGAUUUAUUUAUGAGUUAUAGUGAUUUUUGAUUGGUUUACUGUUUGGCCAAUUGGAGAAAGGUACACCCUAGAAAAAGGGCGCUUGGUUUUAAGCUUUUAUCAGCUAAGAGUACGGCUGCAAAGCCGAAACAUGUCAGCUGUUUUUUCCUUUCUCCAACUUACCAACCAGCUGCUGUCAAGCCCAUAAAAUUCUGAAGAUACGGAAUUUUUACUAUAUGAAGCAAGCAUUGAAAUUUUAUUUUGUAGCUGUUUAUGAGGAAAUAAAUGCUACUUUUUUCAUCUA